RNAcentral lists this ribosomal RNA (449 nucleotides) under uncultured bacterium. Its description in RNAcentral is "partial 16S ribosomal RNA". It matches the Rfam family "Bacterial small subunit ribosomal RNA", at positions 29 to 523 of the family's 1533-position model. The record is from RNAcentral.
AACGAACGCUGGCGGCAGGCCUAACACAUGCAAGUCGAACGCUGUAGCAAUACAGAGUGGCAGACGGGUGAGUAACGCGUGGGAACGUGCCUUUCGGUUCGGAACAACUCAGGGAAACUUGAGCUAAUACCGGAUACGACCUUCGGGGGAAAGAUUUAUGGCCGAAAGAUCGGCCCGCGUCCGAUUAGCUAGUUGGUGUGGUAAUGGCGCACCAAGGCGACGAUCGGUAGCUGGUCUGAGAGGAUGAUCAGCCACACUGGGACUGAGACACGGCCCAGACUCCUACGGGAGGCAGCAGUGGGGAAUAUUGGACAAUGGGCGCAAGCCUGAUCCAGCCAUGCCGCGUGAGUGAUGAAGGCCCUAGGGUUGUAAAGCUCUUUCGCCAGGGACGAUAAUGACGGUACCUGGAUAGGAAGCCCCGGCUAACUUCGUGCCAGCCGCCGCAGUAA